AGUGAACGCUGGCGGUAGGCCUAACACAUGCAAGUCGAACGGCAGCACAGUAAGAGCUUGCUCUUACGGGUGGCGAGUGGCGGACGGGUGAGGAAUACAUCGGAAUCUACUUUUUCGUGGGGGAUAACGUAGGGAAACUUACGCUAAUACCGCAUACGACCUACGGGUGAAAGCAGGGGAUCUUCGGACCUUGCGCGAUUGAAUGAGCCGAUGUCGGAUUAGCUAGUUGGCGGGGUAAAGGCCCACCAAGGCGACGAUCCGUAGCUGGUCUGAGAGGAUGAUCAGGCACACUGGAACUGAGACACGGUCCAGACCCCUACGGGAGGCAGCGGUGGGGAAUAUUGGACAAGGGGCGCAAGCCUGAUCCAGCCAUACCGCGUGGGUGAAGAAGGCCUUCGGGUUGUAAAGCCCUUUUGUUGGGAAAGAAAAGCAGCAGGUUAAUACCCCGCUGUUCUGACGGUACCCAAAGAAUAAGCACCGGCUAACUUCGUG
Molecule: ribosomal RNA, 492 nt
Filed under: uncultured bacterium
Lineage: Bacteria
Description: partial 16S ribosomal RNA
Rfam family: Bacterial small subunit ribosomal RNA
Source: RNAcentral